Molecule: transfer RNA, 72 nt
Filed under: Paenibacillus xylanexedens
Lineage: Bacteria; Bacillati; Bacillota; Bacilli; Caryophanales; Paenibacillaceae
Description: tRNA-Ala(ggc)
Source: RNAcentral
GGGCCUUAGCGCUCAUGGGUGAGCGCAUCGCUGGCAGCGAUGCGGUCAGGGGUUCGAUCCGCCUAGGCUCCA